AUCUACAAACCAGUCGCUAAAACUCAACGAUUUGCACAAUACCAGUAUGAUCUAAACUGUCUUGUGAUAUCUACGCCUUAUUCAUAGUUUUACCGGAUUUAUCUUUGGUAAACGUGCAUGAGAUCAGCUCGUUAUUCGAGCGGUGGGACCCCAUGUGCUUUGAAGCGGCGGUCACGGUGGAAGUGCAGCGACUCCCCUCGCAGAUGUUGCCGUGGCCUCCCAAGCAAUUGCGGGGGAGGAACAAGUUCACCAAGAGCUCCUCCAUGUCUUUUGUGUCCCCCGUCUUGCAGAAACAUACGGGAGGUGAAGCAUUCCCUCGCAGAGAAGCAGGAGGCGAGUAAGAUGCAGGCAUAAGGUCCGCCAAGGCUGGCGGGUCAGGGCCGGGGGUCGCCGGGGGUCAGACGGACAUCACACGCCAUCAAGGGAACUGCAUACUGUAAUGAAGGUGUAAGCAAGCCUGCAGGGAGAUGAGGAAGAAAAGAAAGGAUUCGUCGCUCUCGAGUCAAAAAGGGCGGAUGAACCCGUGAAACGCAGCUGCUUGAAGAUCCGAGUUUGGCGUCUCAUGAGCAUGCGAGUGAACCCUGACCUCAAGGAGCCAGAGGGUGCACCUGGCAGCAGGGUCUG
This is a long non-coding RNA of Electrophorus electricus (electric eel), 624 nucleotides long. RefSeq lists it as uncharacterized. The record is from RefSeq and is a predicted model, not a curated record. Lineage: Eukaryota; Metazoa; Chordata; Actinopteri; Gymnotiformes; Gymnotidae.